AUACGGGGGUGCAAGCGUUACUCGGAAUUACUGGGCGUAAAGCGCGCGUAGGCGGAUUGUUAAGUCUCAUGUGAAAGCCCUGGGCGCAACCUGGGAACUGCAUGGGAUACUGGCAAUCUAGAAUACAGUAGAGGGGAGUGGAAUUUCAGGUGUAGCGGUGAAAUGCGUAGAGAUCUGAAGGAACAUCAGUGGCGAAGGCGACUACCUGGACUGAUAUUGACGCUGAGGUGCGAAAGCGUGGGGAGCAAACGGGAUUAGAAACCCCAGUAGUCC
RNAcentral lists this ribosomal RNA (273 nucleotides) under uncultured bacterium. Its description in RNAcentral is "partial 16S ribosomal RNA". It matches the Rfam family "Bacterial small subunit ribosomal RNA", at positions 523 to 796 of the family's 1533-position model. The record is from RNAcentral.